CAACAAGGUGCUUCUGAGAUGCUUCUGACUCGCACCGCGACGCCUGGUGUGGACCAAACCAUUGACGGCGCACACUCACCCGGUGGAAAUUAGGGGUUGGCCUUAACCGACCUGACGCAGACGCCAUGUGCUCCUUAAUGAUGUAGCCGAGCCGUUUCUGGAUGCGUGUUCGGCGGGAAAAGUCUGGCUCAGCUGUCUCCAGGGCUGCUCAUCAGCGCUGGACGUCGUAGAACCGCUUCCUUGUAAGACCCUGGUCGCAGAGUGAAAACAUGGAUGCCAACAGCAGAGGGCUGAGCCGUUAACCAGCUGCAAGCAUUAGCUUCUCUGCUUGCCUGCUACUUCUGCUUCUAUCUCCAGGACCAGGCGGACUCAGCCAGCAACAUGCUGGAGUUUGUUCAGAGGUUAAUUAUGGGAAUUAACCCUGAUAGCAGCAAAUAACAAAGUUUGGAAAGAGGGUCCCAAGAAAAUCUCAGAUUGCACUGACUCUGGCAAAGUGUUUGGUCCUGUUGCAAAGCAGGAACACAAACGAAAACAGGUAGCUUGUUAACAGCUUAGUUCUCCAGAAAACAUAUUUAAAUAUUUUGGCAUUACUGUAGAGACACAUGGAAGUCCUGCGUGCAGC
Molecule: long non-coding RNA, 622 nt
Organism: Melanotaenia boesemani (Boeseman's rainbowfish)
Lineage: Eukaryota; Metazoa; Chordata; Actinopteri; Atheriniformes; Melanotaeniidae
Exons: 4
Source: RefSeq, a predicted model, not a curated record